CGGCAAGCCUGAUGCAGCAACGCCGCGUGCGGGAUGACGGCCUUCGGGUUGUAAACCGCUUUUAGUAAGGAAGAAGGGGAGCUUGCUCCUUGACGGUACUUGCAGAAAAAGGACCGGCUAACUACGUGCCAGCAGCCGCGGUAAUACGUAGGGUCCGAGCGUUGUCCGGAAUUAUUGGGCGUAAAGAGCUCGUAGGCGGUUUGUCGCGUCUGCUGUGAAAUCCCGAGGCUCAACCUCGGGCCUGCAGUGGGUACGGGCAGACUUGAGUGGUGUAGGGGAGACUGGAAUUCCUGGUGUAGCGGUGGAAUGCGCAGAUAUCAGGAGGAACACCGAUGGCGAAGGCAGGUCUCUGGGCACUUACUGACGCUGAGGAGCGAAAGCGUGGGGAGCGAACAGGAUUAGAUACCCUGGUAGUCCACGCCGUAAACGUUGGGCGCUAGAUGUGGGGACCUUUCCACGGUUUCCGUGUCGUAGCUAACGCAUUAAGCGCCCCGCCUGGGGAGUACGGCCGCAAGGCUA
RNAcentral lists this ribosomal RNA (519 nucleotides) under uncultured Actinomycetes bacterium. Its description in RNAcentral is "bacterial SSU rRNA". It matches the Rfam family "Bacterial small subunit ribosomal RNA", at positions 376 to 896 of the family's 1533-position model. Lineage: Bacteria; Bacillati; Actinomycetota; Actinomycetes. The record is from RNAcentral.